CUCCCUUUAGGAUAGAUGAGUCUCGAGUCUGCGGUGUAGAGAUACUAGAAUGAGAGUGCAGACAGUUAAUAGAGAACAACUUGCACUGAGCAUAAUCAAUACGAAAAAUCACUUGGAUGUCUACUCACUCGUCAGUGGUUUUUUCGAUGCUACAGUAGUGUGACUGGUCCUUUGACCUAUGGUGUGUUGGCUAUUCGCAGUGAGGCUACUUAGUUUGACUGCAUAUUUUUUUGAUCCCUAGCCAUUCAGGUCCUUACUAUGUAUGUUGGCUAUUAUAGGUUCGGUUCGCUAUUUGGAGUAAGAUACAUCUAGAUAGAAUCUAUCAAUCUUAGUAGAAAAGGAGUACUCCUAUGCGAUUUGCAAGACUGAGUUCAGAAAGUCUCUGAUCAGAGCAAGAGUGAAUAUUGAAAAAGAGUUUCCAUGAAAUUUAUAAAUAAACUUGAGUUGAGCCAAUCUAGCAUAUGACUGAUGAUAGGGUUUGACGAGUUCUCCAUGAUCUCCGUCUAGUUGGGACUCACGAUAGAAAAAUUGUAUCAUAUGAUAACUGCACCUAGGGGUUCAUCUUUUUUGUUCUGUUGGGUUAUCACUACAUGCUGCUAAGCAUCACUGGUAGAUUGUGAGAACUUAGUAGGAUCAUUUUCGGAUCAACAAUCCAUAUUGAGGUGAGUUAGAAUCGUUCUAGUCUAUCGAAAGGAGUUUCGAUGAUACUGUGAUGGAGAUCAUGGUAUG
RNAcentral lists this long non-coding RNA (729 nucleotides) under Elaeis guineensis (African oil palm). RNAcentral describes it as "long non-coding RNA (EGUI_LNC075434)". The record is from RNAcentral. Lineage: Eukaryota; Viridiplantae; Streptophyta; Magnoliopsida; Arecales; Arecaceae.